Molecule: ribosomal RNA, 229 nt
Filed under: uncultured bacterium
Lineage: Bacteria
Description: partial 16S ribosomal RNA
Rfam family: Bacterial small subunit ribosomal RNA
Source: RNAcentral
CGGGUGAGUAAUGUAUGGGGAUCUGCCUGAUGGCGGGGGGUAACUACUGGAAACGGUAGCUAAUACCGCAUAAUGUCUACGGACCAAAGCGGGGGGACCUCCGGGCCUCGCGCCAUCAGAUGAACCCAUAUGGGAUUAGCUAGUAGGUGGGGUAACGGCUCACCUAGGCGACGAUCCCUAGCUGGUCUGAGAGGAUGACCAGCCACACUGGAACUGAGACACGGUCCAG